Dermacentor silvarum is the source of this 774-nucleotide long non-coding RNA. RefSeq lists it as uncharacterized. The record is from RefSeq and is a predicted model, not a curated record. Lineage: Eukaryota; Metazoa; Arthropoda; Arachnida; Ixodida; Ixodidae. The transcript is spliced from 3 exons.
GAUUGGUUUAUGCUUCAGCUACGACUUCCCUUGAGUGAUAAAUGCGAAUCUCGAAGGCUAUGCUCCUGAAGCGAUGCGAAUCGGGGAGGCAGGUUCCUUUUUGUUAACCGCAGUGUGGCGCUGCUGCAGUGUUUUGUUCAAUAAAUCCAAUCCAAUCCAAGUUGCUGCAGUUUAUGGACCACGUUGGCUGUGCGCGAGUGCUUGUUGCAGUGAGGCGGUAGUUGAAUUUUAUGUUAGAAGUGCCUAGGCAAAAUGUGCUUCUUAUCGUGUGCAUUAACCAUCGCACAACCUCUGAACUCGUGAAACACCGUGUGUUCGCCGUGUGUUUCGAGCGAUACGCCAGUGUCAACAGUGUCUUACAGCGCCCGUCCGAGCUGCUUUUGUUCCCGCCUGCCUGCGCUCUCUCGUGAAAAGCCUGGUACUGGGGCUUCAUCACAGUGUAUGGAAGAAUUUGUUGUAGGUUAUGCGUUCGUGGUGCUGUAGUUCAUCGGCAGCUCUACAGUGUUUGCGCCCGAAAGAGAGUUGGUGCCACGGUACCUGUGGGACGAAGGAGUGUUUGCUGACUACGUCUUGAAAGUUGAAGGCUAUGCGGAUUCUGGAGGCAUCCCACAGGAACCUGCAGCACUGCUGCAAGCUGGAGAGCACCACUAUAAAGCACUUGAUCUGCGCGCUUUUACAAAGGCUUGCAGCAAGAGGGAUAUCAAGAACACGGGAGAUAUCCAGACAGCAUUAUAGUCACUGCUUGCUUGUGGCUUCUUAGGGCGUGUAUGAAAG